This is an RNA transcript of Humulus lupulus (European hop), 1947 nucleotides long. It is a transcript of the gene named 3-hydroxyisobutyryl-CoA hydrolase 1-like, with no coding region annotated. Lineage: Eukaryota; Viridiplantae; Streptophyta; Magnoliopsida; Rosales; Cannabaceae. The transcript has 16 exons. The record is from RefSeq and is a predicted model, not a curated record.
UAGCCUAUUAGGCAGACGGAAAGAUUUCUGGGGAAUGGUAACGUGACGUGAUCUACUUGAUAUCACCCCCGGCUCUUAACUCCGAUUGUAUAAAUAUAUAUUAAAUAAAUAAUCCCAGAAGAGAGUGAAAUCCGUCGAAACGACUACCUGCUUCUUCACUCCGGCGUUACAGGGGGAGAGCUCAUUCAGUAAUGGGUUCCGAAGAAGGCCAGGUUUUGGUGGAAGAGAAGCAAUAUGUGAGGAAUCUGGUAUUGAACAGGCCUAGGCAGCUGAAUGCCCUUUCUUUUCAAAUGAUUUCUCGUUUGUUGGAUCUUUUCCGUGCCUAUGAGGAUGAUUCUAAUGUCAAAUUCGUUGUUGUCAAGGGGAAAGGAAGAGCUUUUUGUGCUGGUGGAGAUGUUGCUGCUGUGGUUCGUGAUAUUAAUGAAGGUAAGUGGAAAUUAGGUGCAGAAUUUUUUCGGAAGGAGUUUACCUUAAAUUACUUGAUAGCAACGUACAGUAAACCACAGGUUUCAAUCCUCAAUGGAAUUGUCAUGGGAGGUGGAGCUGGAGCUUCAAUACAUGGUAGAUUCCGAGUUGUAACUGAAACUUCGGUAUUUGCUAUGCCAGAAACAGCUUUGGGACUCUUUCCAGAUGUGGGUGCCUCUUACUUCUUGUCAAGACUUCCUGGAUUCCUUGGAGAAUAUUGUGGUCUAACUGGUUCUAGAUUGGAUGGUGCGGAAAUGCUUGCUAGUGGUCUUGCAACUCACUUUGUCCCAUCAACAAGGCUAUCCUUGUUAGAAGAAGAACUAUACAAGGUGGAUUCAGGUGAUCCAGUCAUCAUCUCAGAAGUUAUUGGUAAAUACUCACAGGAGCCUCAUCUAAAAGAUAAAAGUGCUUUUCUCCGGCGAGAUGUUAUUGAUAAGUGCUUCUCUCAAAGAACAGUAGAAGAUAUUUUAUCUGCCCUUGAGAGGGAGGUAAUAAAAAAGCCAGAUGAUUGGAUUUCUGCAACCAUUCAAACAUUAAGAAAGGCAUCCCCAAUGAGUUUGAAAAUCUCUUUGAGAUCGAUUAGAGAAGGAAGACUCCAGGGUGUUGGUCAAUGUCUUGUACGUGAAUUUAGAAUGGUUUGUCAUGUGAUGCAAGGACAAGUCAGCAAGGAUUUCGUAGAGGGUUGCAGAGCUCUGUUGUUGGACAAGGAUAAAAACCCCAAGUGGAAGCCUUCUAAACUUGAGCUCAUCAGUGAUGAUAUGGUUAAUCAGUACUUCUCGAAGGUGGAUGAUGAAGAAUGGGAAGACCUCAAGCUUCCUGCAAGAUCCAACUUGCCAGUAUCUGCCAUUGCCAAGCUUUAGAUGAAGAAGAACAAAAAGCCCUAAAAAACCAUUCGAACGUGGCUUAGGAAGCCAUUGUCGUCGACUUAAAGCUCUUGGAAGAAACCAUCGGUCGAGGGUAUGUGGCAUUUUAAAUGGCAGCAAAAGGUUCAUUUUCAUCUUCUUCGGGUGUGCACAAUCGAGGAAGGAAUAAGGAUGAGUUUGAUUGUGUGAGCUGCGAUUGUGGAUUGCAAUCAGCCGUGAGGACUUCAUGGGCCAAGCGGAAUCCUGGGAGAAGGUUCAGAACUUGCUCCAGAGUGAAAUUUGAUGGGGGUUGUGAUUUCUUUCGGUGGGUCGAUUCAAAGUCUUCAUCAUCUCGAAGAGGUAUGGUUCCAGGAUGGGUGAGAAGGUUCGAGGCAGAGGAUGGAAUACGUGUUAAACAUGAUGUUGCUUGUAAUGUUUGUCCUCAUUGUAAUAAUGGGAUAACAAUUAUUAUUAGUUGGGGAAAAUUAAUUUGUAUUGUAAUUGUUUUAGUUAUAUUAUGGAUCCUAAAGUAGUGUUGGUGUUUGGUUUGUAAAAUGUAAACAUUUGAGGCAUCUUUAUUGGCCUCUGUAUUGUAAUUAUGUUAGUUUUGAAUGAAUGCAAUUUGCUGCAAUUUGGUGAA